GACGAACGCUGGCGGCGUGCUUAACACAUGCAAGUCGAACGGUGAAGCGCCUUCCUUUUUGGUGGGUGUGGAUGAGUGGCGAACGGGUGAGUAACACGUGAGUAACCUGCCCCCUUCUUCUGGAUAACCGCAUGAAAGUGUGGCUAAUACGGGAUAUUCUGGGUCUGUCGCAUGAUGGGUCUGGGAAAGAUAUUGUUUCGGUGGGGGAUGGGCUCGCGGCCUAUCAGCUUGUUGGUGGGGUGAUGGCCUACCAAGGCGGUGACGGGUAGCCGGCCUGAGAGGGUGGACGGUCACACUGGGACUGAGACACGGCCCAGACUCCUACGGGAGGCAGCAGUGGGGAAUAUUGCACAAUGGGCGCAAGCCUGAUGCAGCGACGCCGCGUGAGGGAUGGAGGCCUUCGGGUUGUGAACCUCUUUCGACAGUGAAGCAGGCCUGCCUCGUUUGUGGGUGGGUUGACGGUAGCUGGAUAAGAAGCGCCGGCUAACUACGUG
RNAcentral lists this ribosomal RNA (494 nucleotides) under uncultured bacterium. Its description in RNAcentral is "partial 16S ribosomal RNA". It matches the Rfam family "Bacterial small subunit ribosomal RNA", at positions 28 to 507 of the family's 1533-position model. The record is from RNAcentral.